ACGGGAGGCAGCAGUGGGGAAUAUUGCACAUGGGCGAAAGCCUGAUGCAGCGACGCCGCGUGAGCGAAGAAGUAUUUCGGUAUGUAAAGCUCUAUCAGCAGGGAAGAUAAUGACGGUACCUGACUAAGAAGCACCGGCUAAAUACGUGCCAGCAGCCGCGGUAAUACGUAUGGUGCAAGCGUUAUCCGGAUUUACUGGGUGUAAAGGGAGCGCAGGCGGUACGGCAAGUCUGAUGUGAAAGCCCGGGGCUCAACCCCGGUACUGCAUUGGAAACUGUCGAACUAGAGUGUCGGAGGGGUGAGUGGAAUUCCUAGUGUAGCGGUGAAAUGCGUAGAUAUUAGGAGGAACACCAGUGGCGAAGGCGGCUCACUGGACGACAACUGACGCUGAGGCUCGAAAGCGUGGGGAGCAAACAGGAUUAGAUACCCUGGUA
This 433-nucleotide ribosomal RNA is filed under the name uncultured Lachnospiraceae bacterium. Its description in RNAcentral is "partial 16S ribosomal RNA". It matches the Rfam family "Bacterial small subunit ribosomal RNA", at positions 341 to 792 of the family's 1533-position model. The record is from RNAcentral. Lineage: Bacteria; Bacillati; Bacillota; Clostridia; Lachnospirales; Lachnospiraceae.